RNAcentral lists this transfer RNA (72 nucleotides) under Streptococcus sp. RNAcentral's name for it is "tRNA-Trp". It matches the Rfam family "tRNA". From Rfam's summary of the family: Transfer RNA (tRNA) molecules are approximately 80 nucleotides in length. Their secondary structure includes four short double-helical elements and three loops (D, anti-codon, and T loops). Further hydrogen bonds mediate the characteristic L-shaped molecular structure. tRNAs have two regions of fundamental functional importance: the anti-codon, which is responsible for specific mRNA codon recognition, and the 3' end, to which the tRNAs corresponding amino acid is attached (by aminoacyl-tRNA synthetases). tRNAs cope with the degeneracy of the genetic code in two manners: having more than one tRNA (with a specific anti-codon) for a particular amino acid; and 'wobble' base-pairing, i.e. permitting non-standard base-pairing at the 3rd anti-codon position. Lineage: Bacteria; Bacillati; Bacillota; Bacilli; Lactobacillales; Streptococcaceae. The record is from RNAcentral.
AGGCGAUUAGUUUAACUGGCAAAAUGUCGGUCUCCAAAACCGAUGUCACUGGUUCAAGUCCGGUAUCGUCUG